UUCCUACGGGAGGCAGCAGUGAGGAAUAUUGGUCAAUGGGCGCGAGCCUGAACCAGCCAAGUCGCGUGAGGGAUGACGGUCCUACGGAUUGUAAACCUCUUUUGCCGGGGAGCAAGCGUGCGUUCGUGAACGCGCGUCGAGAGUACCCGGAGAAAAAGCAUCGGCUAACUCCGUGCCAGCAGCCGCGGUAAUACGGAGGAUCCGAGCGUUAUCCGGAUUUAUUGGGUUUAAAGGGAGCGUAGGUGGAUUGUUAAGUCAGUUGUGAAAGUUUGCGGCUCAACCGUAAAAUUGCAGUUGAAACUGGC
Molecule: ribosomal RNA, 305 nt
Filed under: uncultured bacterium
Lineage: Bacteria
Description: bacterial SSU rRNA
Rfam family: Bacterial small subunit ribosomal RNA
Source: RNAcentral